Molecule: ribosomal RNA, 497 nt
Filed under: uncultured bacterium
Lineage: Bacteria
Description: partial 16S ribosomal RNA
Rfam family: Bacterial small subunit ribosomal RNA
Source: RNAcentral
GAUGAACGCUGGCGGCGUGCCUAAUACAUGCAAGUCGAGCGAACGGACGAGACGCUUGCUUCUCUGAUGUUAGCGGCGGACGGGUGAGUAACACGUGUAUCACCUACCUAUCAGACUGGGAUCACUUCGGGAAACCGUAGCUUAUACCGUAUAAUAUUUUGCUCCGCAUGGUUCAAAAGUGAAAGACGGUCUUUCUGUCACUUAUCGCUGCAUCUCGGCUGCAUUAGAUAGUUGUUAAGUUGACGGCUUUCCACGGCAACGAGGCAUAGACGACCUGAGAGGGUGAUAGGCGACCUGGGAACGGAGACACGGACAAGACGACUAAGGGACGCAGCAGAAGGGAACCUUCGGCAGUGGGCGAAAGCCUGACGGAGCAACGCGGAGUGAGUGAUGAAGGUCUUCGGAGCGGAAAACUCGGUUAUGAGGGAAGAACAUAUGUGUAAGUAAAUGUGCACAGAGUGACGGUAACGAAUCAGAAAGCAACGGCUAACUACGUG